UACGAAGGGGGCUAGCGUUGCUCGGAAUCACUGGGCGUAAAGCGCACGUAGGCGGAUCUUUAAGUCAGGGGUGAAAUCCUGGAGCUCAACUCCAGAACUGCCUUUGAUACUGAGGACCUUGAGUUCGGGAGAGGUGAGUGGAACUGCGAGUGUAGAGGUGAAAUUCGUAGAUAUUCGCAAGAACACCAGUGGCGAAGGCGGCUCACUGGCCCGAUACUGACGCUGAGGUGCGAAAGCGUGGGGAGCAAACAGG
Molecule: ribosomal RNA, 253 nt
Filed under: uncultured bacterium
Lineage: Bacteria
Description: partial 16S ribosomal RNA
Rfam family: Bacterial small subunit ribosomal RNA
Source: RNAcentral